RNAcentral lists this ribosomal RNA (737 nucleotides) under uncultured bacterium. RNAcentral's name for it is "bacterial SSU rRNA". It matches the Rfam family "Bacterial small subunit ribosomal RNA", at positions 8 to 796 of the family's 1533-position model. The record is from RNAcentral.
AGAGUUUGAUCAUGGCUCAGAACGAACGCUGGCGGCAGGCCUAACACAUGCAAGUCGAGCGCCCGCAAGGGAGCGGCAGACGGGCGAGUAACGCGUGGGAACGUGCCCUUUGGUUCGGAAUAUUCCCGGGAAAUUGGGAGCAAAACCGGAUAAGCCCUUCGGGGGAAAGUUUACGCCAAAGGAUCGGCCCGCGUUAGAUUAGGUAGUUGGUGGGGUAACGGCCUACCAAGCCUACGAUCUAUAGCUGAUCUGAGAGGAUGAUCAGCCACACUGGGACUGAGACACGGCCCAGACUCCUACGGGAGGCAGCAGUGGGGAAUCUUGGACAAUGGGCGCAAGCCUGAUCCAGCCAUGCCGCGUGGAUGACUGAAGGCCCUAGGGUUGUAAAGUCCUUUCGACGGGGACGAUAAUGACGGUACCCGUAGAAGAAGCCCCGGCUAACUUCGUGCCAGCAGCCGCGGUAAUACGAAGGGGGCUAGCGUUGUUCGGAUUUACUGGGCGUAAAGGGCGCGUAGGCGGAUUUUUAAGUCGGGGGUGAAAUCCCGGAGCUCAACUCCGGAACUGCCUUCGAUACUGGAAGUCUGGAGCACGGUAGAGGUGAGUGGAAUUCCGAGUGUAGAGGUGAAAUUCGUAGAUAUUCGGAGGAACACCAGUGGCGAAGGCGGCUCACUGGACCGUUGCUGACGCUGAGGCGCGAAAGCGUGGGGAGCAAACAGGAUUAGAUACCCCGGUAGUCC